RNAcentral lists this ribosomal RNA (634 nucleotides) under uncultured archaeon. RNAcentral describes it as "bacterial SSU rRNA". It matches the Rfam family "Archaeal small subunit ribosomal RNA", at positions 280 to 921 of the family's 1478-position model. The record is from RNAcentral.
GAGCAGAUCCCGGAGAUGAUUCUGAGACAUGAUCCAGGCCCUACGGGGCGCAGCAGGCGCGCAAACUUUACAAUGCGAGCAAUCGUGAUAAGGAAACCCUGAGUGCCUGUCGAUGCAGGCUGUUCAUAUAUCUAAAUCAUAUGUGAAGAAAGGGCAGGGCAAGACCGGUGCCAGCCGCCGCGGUAAUACCGGCUGCUCGAGUGAUGGCCACUAUUACUGGGUUUAAAGCGUCCGUAGCUUGACUGUUAGGUCUCUUGGGAAAUCUUCGCGCUUAACGUGAAGGCGUCUAAGAGAUACCGGCAGUCUUGGAACUGGGAGAGGUAAACCGUACUUCGGGGGUAGGAGUGAAAUCUUGUAAUCCUCGAGGGACGACCUAUGGCGAAGGCAGUUUACCAGAACAGCUUCGACAGUGAGGGACGAAAGCUGGGGGAGCAAACGGGAUUAGAUACCCCGGUAGUCCCAGCCGUAAACAAUGUGCGUUAGGUGUGUCGGUAACCACGUGUUACUGAUGCGCCGAAGAGAAAUCGUGAAACGCACCACCUGGGAAGUACGGUCGCAAGGCUGAAACUUAAAGGAAUUGGCGGGGGAGCACCACAACAGGUGGAGCCUGCGGUUUAAUUGGAUUCAACGCCGG